UUAUUUGAAACAGGAUACAACCUCCACCACCGGGUAAACAAGGGUAGUUAAAACUAAGUGGGCCUAAAAGCAGCCACCUUCCAAAAAGCGUCAAAGCUUAUCUACUCCAACCCACAAUUUCUAAAAUACUCCCUAACCCUUCAUUCCUACUGACCCCUUUUAUAUUAUUAUAAAAAUAAUUAUGCUAGAACUAGUAACAAGAAGUUGCCCUUCUCCAUAAUGUAAGUAUAAACCAAAACGGACCUUCCAUUGGUAAUUAACGUAAAUGUAAACCCCAUAAUAACAUAACCAGAAAACCUUAUGGCCCCACACGUUACUCUAACACUAGAACAUUACAGGAAAGAUUAAAAGAGAAAGAAGGAACUCGGCAAAUUUUAACCCCGCCUGUUUACCAAAAACAUCGCCUCUUGAUCAAACAUAAGAGGUCCAGCCUGCCCAGUGACAAAAUUCAACGGCCGCGGUACACUAACCGUGCGAAGGUAGCAUAAUCAUUUGUUCUUUAAAUAAGGACUAGUAUCAACGGCAUCACGAGGGUUAUACUGUCUCCUAUCUCUAAUCAGUGAAACUGAUCCCCCCGUGAAGAAGCGGGGAUUUAGCU
This 598-nucleotide ribosomal RNA is filed under the name Odorrana junlianensis. Its description in RNAcentral is "partial 16S ribosomal RNA". It matches the Rfam family "Bacterial large subunit ribosomal RNA", at positions 1006 to 2074 of the family's 2925-position model. Lineage: Eukaryota; Metazoa; Chordata; Amphibia; Anura; Ranidae. The record is from RNAcentral.